RNAcentral lists this ribosomal RNA (492 nucleotides) under uncultured bacterium. RNAcentral describes it as "partial 16S ribosomal RNA". It matches the Rfam family "Bacterial small subunit ribosomal RNA", at positions 29 to 507 of the family's 1533-position model. The record is from RNAcentral.
AGUGAACGCUGGCGGUAGGCCUAACACAUGCAAGUCGAACGGCAGCACAGUAAGAGCUUGCUCUUACGGGUGGCGAGUGGCGGACGGGUGAGGAAUACAUCGGAAUCUACUUUUUCGUGGGGGAUAACGUAGGGAAACUUACGCUAAUACCGCAUACGACCUACGGGUGAAAGCAGGGGAUCUUCGGACCUUGCGCGAUUGAAUGAGCCGAUGUCGGAUUAGCUAGUUGGCGGGGUAAAGGCCCACCAAGGCGACGAUCCGUAGCUGGUCUGAGAGGAUGAUCAGCCACACUGGAAAUGAGACACGGUCCAGACUCAUACGGGAGGCAGCAGUGGGGAAUAUUGGACAAUGGGCGCAAGACUGAUCAAGCCAUACCGCGUGGGUGAAGAAGGCCUUCGGGUUGUAAAGCCCUUUUGUUGGGAAAGAAAAGCAGCAGGUUAAUACCCCGCUGUUCUGACGGUACCCAAAGAAUAAGCACCGGCUAACUUCGUG